Long non-coding RNA from Colossoma macropomum (tambaqui), 1128 nucleotides. RefSeq lists it as uncharacterized. NCBI's taxonomy places the organism in Eukaryota, Metazoa, Chordata, Actinopteri, Characiformes, Serrasalmidae. The transcript is spliced from 3 exons. The record is from RefSeq and is a predicted model, not a curated record.
CUAAAGCAUCGGUGAUCUGCGUUUAUGAUACUUUAUAUUCUCUGAGAUUUAACACAACACAUUAUAAAUAUAUUUAGUUUCAGUUUGCUCAAGGGAGAGGUCACCUACAGAUUUGGUUGUGUGAGAUGAUUCAUCCAAAAAUAAAGAAGAAAGCAGAGUUAUGGGUCAGUGUUGAGUGUAAAAUGGAAUAUUCCACUGGAUUCCACAUACUCUCAGUACUGUGUACUGCCUGUGUCCUGUUCUGUAUUUAUUGUAGGACAAUGGCAUCAUUCAUGACUGAAAUCAUGCAAAUCUUAAACGCAUUGGCAGCAAAUGAAGAAUUAGGUAGUGGAGACAGACAUUGCCAAGGCAGCGCGGUCGGCGCUGCUCUUGGGAUGGCUCUUGGUGGCCCAUGUGGAUUAGCAGCAGGUGUUGCUGCAGGAGCUGAGUUGGGAACUUGCCUGAGCAAGAGUUCUAAACGUCUAACCAAUGUCCGCAAGGAGCAAACACCUGAAACAACCCUUUGUGCUGGGCUUUGGCAGUUGCUUAAGGAGCUGGUCUGCUGGGCUGUGGAUGUCUUGAUUGCGAUGCUUUUGGGAGAUACAAAGUUAAAGGACAUGGUAGUGGAUUUCAUCAGAUCUUUUUUUGAUCGUUCACUGAAGAUGUUGAUCAAGAAAAAAGCAUAAGAGUGUGAAGGAUACAAUAAAGAAAUAGUGUGAAUAUCAAAGCAAAUGCAGUCUGUCAGAAGAUAAUUCAUUUCUAUCUUGGGGCAAAAAGCAAAUAAAGUGAAAAAAAGAAGAAAUGAAAUCUGUUACUAGUGGUUUUGGGUUACUUGUUUGAACUAUUGUUCUUAAUGUGCUCUCCAACAAAUAUGGUCAUGAAUAGACAAAAUUUCAGAUAUCCUCCACUCAUCAUAGUAACACAGGAAAAAAAAACAUCACAAAUUGAUAUUUUUGUCACAUGGCAUUCUGUUUCUCUAUUUUUUUUUACUUUAAUUUUGGAUUUUUUGAAUUCUGAUUUGUGAACAAACAAAUAAACAAUGUAUAAUACCUUUAUUACACUGUGUAAACUUUACAGGACACAAUAAGUACACUGCAGUUGACAAAGACACACAUGUAUAAAAUUAUGGAAAAUGAUUAAUAAAUUGAA